Molecule: ribosomal RNA, 490 nt
Filed under: uncultured bacterium
Lineage: Bacteria
Description: partial 16S ribosomal RNA
Rfam family: Bacterial small subunit ribosomal RNA
Source: RNAcentral
AUUGAACGCUGGCGGCAGGCCUAACACAUGCAAGUCGAACGGUAACAGGAAGCAGCUUGCUGCUUCGCUGACGAGUGGCGGACGGGUGAGUAAUGUCUGGGAAGCUGCCUGAUGGAGGGGGAUAACUACUGGAAACGGUAGCUAAUACCGCAUAAUGUCGCAAGACCAAAGAGGGGGACCUUCGGGCCUCUUGCCAUCGGUUGUGCCUAUAUGGGAUUAGCUUGUUGGUGGGGUAACGGCUCACCAAGGCGACGAUCCCUAGCUGGUCUGAGAGGAUGACCAGCCACACUGGGACUGAGACACGGUCCAGACUCCUACGGGAGGCAGCAGUGGGGAAUAUUGCACAAUGGGCGCAAGCCUGAUGCAGCCAUGCCGCGUGUAUGAAGAAGGCCUUCGGGUUGUAAAGUACUUUCAGCGGGGAGGAAGGGAGUAAAGUUAAUACCUUUGCUCAUUGACGUUACCCGCAGAAGAAGCACCGGCUAACUCCGUG